GUGGCUGUAGCUCAGUUGGUUUAGAGCGCCGCUCUGUGGAAGCGGAGGUCGUGGGUUCAAGACCCAUCAGCCACCCCA
This 78-nucleotide transfer RNA is filed under the name Patescibacteria group bacterium. Its description in RNAcentral is "tRNA-His". It matches the Rfam family "tRNA". From Rfam's summary of the family: Transfer RNA (tRNA) molecules are approximately 80 nucleotides in length. Their secondary structure includes four short double-helical elements and three loops (D, anti-codon, and T loops). The record is from RNAcentral.